GACGAACGCUGGCGGCGUGCUUAACACAUGCAAGUCGAACGGAAAGGCCCCUUUGGGGGUACUCGAGUGGCGAACGGGUGAGUAACACGUGAGUAACCUGCCCUUGACUUCGGGAUAACUUCAGGAAACUGGGGCUAAAACCGGAUAGCAAUCCUUACUUCAUGGGGGGGUUUGAAAGGUUUCGGCGGUUUUGGAUGGAAUCGCGGCUUAUCAGCUUGUUGUUGGGGUAGUGGCUUACCAAGGCUUUGACGGGUAGCCGGCCUGAGAGGGCGACCGGCCACAGUGGGACUGAGAUACGGCCCAGACUCCUACGGGAGGCAGCAGUGGGGAAUAUUGCACAAUGGGCGGAAGCCUGAUGCAGCAACGCCGCGGGCGGGAGGACGGCCUUCGGGUUGUAAACCGCUUUCAGCAGGGGCGAAGCUUGUGGUGACGGUACCUGCAGAAGAAGCACCGGCUAACUACGUG
Molecule: ribosomal RNA, 465 nt
Filed under: uncultured bacterium
Lineage: Bacteria
Description: partial 16S ribosomal RNA
Rfam family: Bacterial small subunit ribosomal RNA
Source: RNAcentral